This 310-nucleotide ribosomal RNA is filed under the name Bacillus wiedmannii. RNAcentral's name for it is "bacterial SSU rRNA". It matches the Rfam family "Bacterial small subunit ribosomal RNA", at positions 1 to 298 of the family's 1533-position model. The record is from RNAcentral. Lineage: Bacteria; Bacillati; Bacillota; Bacilli; Caryophanales; Bacillaceae.
UUUAUUGGAGAGUUUGAUCCUGGCUCAGGAUGAACGCUGGCGGCGUGCCUAAUACAUGCAAGUCGAGCGAAUGGAUUAAGAGCUUGCUCUUAUGAAAUUAGCGGCGGACGGGUGAGUAACACGUGGGUAACCUGCCCAUAAGACUGGGAUAACUCCGGGAAACCGGGGCUAAUACCGGAUAACAUUUUGAACUGCAUGGUUCGAAAUUGAAAGGCGGCUUCGGCUGUCACUUAUGGAUGGACCCGCGUCGCAUUAGCUAGUUGGUGAGGUAACGGCUCACCAAGGCAACGAUGCGUAGCCGACCUGAGAG